This 254-nucleotide ribosomal RNA is filed under the name uncultured bacterium. Its description in RNAcentral is "partial 16S ribosomal RNA". It matches the Rfam family "Bacterial small subunit ribosomal RNA", at positions 524 to 776 of the family's 1533-position model. The record is from RNAcentral.
UACGUAGGGGGCUAGCGUUGUCCGGAAUCAUUGGGCGUAAAGCGCGUGUAGGCGGCCUUGUAAGUCAGAUGUGAAAACUCAGGGCUCAACCCGGAGACGCCAUCUGAUACUGCGGUGACUGGAGUCUGGUAGGGGAACACGGAAUUCCUGGUGUAGCGGUGAAAUGCGCAGAUAUCAGGAGGAACACCGAUGGCGAAGGCAGUGUUCUGGGCUGACACUGACGCUCAUGCACGAAAGCGUGGGGAGCAAACAGG